Molecule: ribosomal RNA, 119 nt
Filed under: Pteropus alecto (black flying fox)
Lineage: Eukaryota; Metazoa; Chordata; Mammalia; Chiroptera; Pteropodidae
Source: RNAcentral
GUCUACGGCCACGCUACCCUGAACACACUCGAUCCCGUCUGAUCUGGGAAGCUAAGCGGGGGCGAGCUUGGUUAGUACUUGAAUGGGAGACCACCUAGGAAGACCAGGUGCUGUAGGCG